AAGCGACUGGAGCACGGGUCAAGUUUUCCCCAGAGGCGUCGGAAUGGACCUGUGCCACCCAGAGCCCGCGGAGCUGAGCAGCGGGGAGACGGAAGAGUUACAGAGGAUCAAGUGGCACCGAAAGCAGCUCCUGGAGGACAUCCAGAAGCUGAAGGAUGAGAUCGCAGAUGUGUUUGCCCAAAUCGACUGCUUCGAGAGUGCGGAGGAGAGCCGGAUGGCCCAGAAGGAGAAGGAGCUGUGUAUUGGGCGCAAGAAGUUCAACAUGGACCCCGCCAAGGUAGGUGGCUGUGGAGGGCCCGGGCCACAGGGUGUGGGGGCUGCAUGGGAGCACCUGCCCGGUGUCCUCUCGCUCCCCUCGGCUGACACGACCCCUUUCCAGAGGAGGAAGCUGGGCCCAGCAGAGCUGAGCAUCUUGUCCAGUGCCCCAUGGCCAGGUGUGGCUGGGCGCCCUGUCUACUCCCAGGCAUACACGCCCUGGGGCAGGAGGAGCCAGGAGCAUGGAGGAGGCCACGGUGUCCAUGCACUUGGCCUAGUCCCUUCCCCACUCUGGGCCUCCAUUUCCUUCUCCAUGAAUGUGGCUUGGGACAGUGGAGCUCUUGGAUCUGGGGCUUAGGCUCCAGAAGCAUCUUCCAGCCCUGGGCUCAGGGAGGGCCAGUCCUGCGGUCCCACCACCCACCCCUCUGCUAGUAGGAGCAGCAGCUCAGGGCUGGGUUACCUCGAUCCCCCACACCACUCCCAAGCCCGUGGCCUCACCCCACCAGGUGGCAGCUGGGCUUCCAUCCUGAAAGGACGGAGACAGAAGGAAACCGCAGGCA
Molecule: small RNA, 815 nt
Filed under: Pan troglodytes (chimpanzee)
Lineage: Eukaryota; Metazoa; Chordata; Mammalia; Primates; Hominidae
Description: retained intron
Source: RNAcentral